ACCUAUGGCCAAACCGGACUGAAUACCCCGAUCCUGUCUGAUUUCAGAAGGUAAACCAUCCCGGGCCUGGCUAGUACUUGGAUGGGUGACCACGUGGGAAUCCUAGAUGCUAUAAACA
This 118-nucleotide ribosomal RNA is filed under the name Gopherus agassizii (Agassiz's desert tortoise). Lineage: Eukaryota; Metazoa; Chordata; Testudines; Testudinidae. The record is from RNAcentral.